CGAACGCUGGCGGCGUGCUUAACACAUGCAAGUCGAACGGAAAGGCCCUGCUUUUGUGGGGUGCUCGAGUGGCGAACGGGUGAGUAACACGUGAGUAACCUGCCCUUGACUUUGGGAUAACUUCAGGAAACUGGGGCUAAUACCGGGUAGGAGCUCCUGCUGCAUGGUGGGGGUUGGAAAGUUUCGGCGGUUGGGGAUGGACUCGCGGCUUAUCAGCUUGUUGGUGGGGUAGUGGCUUACCAAGGCUUUGACGGGUAGCCGGCCUGAGAGGGUGACCGGCCACAUUGGGACUGAGAUACGGCCCAGACUCCUACGGGAGGCAGCAGUGGGGAAUAUUGCACAAUGGGCGGAAGCCUGAUGCAGCAACGCCGCGUGCGGGAUGACGGCCUUCGGGUUGUAAACCGCUUUCGCCUGUGACGAAGCGUGAGUGACGGUAAUGGGUAAAGAAGCACCGGCUAACUACGUG
Molecule: ribosomal RNA, 466 nt
Filed under: uncultured bacterium
Lineage: Bacteria
Description: partial 16S ribosomal RNA
Rfam family: Bacterial small subunit ribosomal RNA
Source: RNAcentral